Molecule: ribosomal RNA, 497 nt
Filed under: uncultured bacterium
Lineage: Bacteria
Description: partial 16S ribosomal RNA
Rfam family: Bacterial small subunit ribosomal RNA
Source: RNAcentral
ACGAACGCUGGCGGCGUGCCUAACACAUGCAAGUCGAGCGGACGAAUCGAAAGCUUGCUUUUGAUUCGUUAGCGGCGGACGGGUGAGUAACACGUGGGCAACCUGCCCUGUAGACGGGGAUAACACCGAGAAAUCGGUGCUAAUACCGGAUAACACGAAAUGUCGCAUGACGUUUCGUUGAAAGACGGCGCAAGCUGUCGCUACAGGAUGGGCCCGCGGCGCAUUAGCUAGUUGGUGAGGUAACGGCUCACCAAGGCGACGAUGCGUAGCCGACCUGAGAGGGUGAUCGGCCACACUGGGACUGAGACACGGCCCAGACUCCUACGGGAGGCAGCAGUAAGGAAUCUUCCGCAAUGGACGAAAGUCUGACGGAGCAACGCCGCGUGAGCGAAGAAGGCCUUCGGGUCGUAAAGCUCUGUUGUUAGGGAAGAACAAGUAACGCAGUAACUGGCGUUACCGUGACGGUACCUAACGAGAAAGCCACGGCUAACUACGUG